This 158-nucleotide small RNA is filed under the name human gut metagenome. RNAcentral describes it as "Clostridiales-1 RNA". It matches the Rfam family "Clostridiales-1 RNA". The record is from RNAcentral.
AGACAAGGGACAAAUGGACACAAAACGGAUGCUUGCAUACGUUUUUGUGUCUAUGAGGACCGCAAAACACCGAAAAGCAGCCAUUUUUCGUAGAAAAAUGAGCGGAUUUGAGGUGUUUUUAGGAUUGCGAGAGUGCAAAGCACGGAGCAAUCCGUAGU